CGAUACUCCGAGCGAAAAUCUCUAAGGAUGCCAGAUAAUCUAUCUAUGGGAUUGAGCCUGGGUAAAACCCACAGGGGAACCUCAGAAAUGAGCUUCCCUUCCGUUUUUUGAAAAGGAGCACGA
This 123-nucleotide non-coding RNA is filed under the name uncultured Mitsuokella sp. Its description in RNAcentral is "Moco (molybdenum cofactor) riboswitch". It matches the Rfam family "Molybdenum/Tungsten riboswitch aptamer (Moco RNA motif)", at positions 13 to 119 of the family's 135-position model. Lineage: Bacteria; Bacillati; Bacillota; Negativicutes; Selenomonadales; Selenomonadaceae. The record is from RNAcentral.